GAUAUAAGCCAUGUGAGUCUUUGUAGUAAUACAAGGCAGACGGCUCAGUAACGCGUAGUCAACUUACCCUAUGGACGGGGAUAAUCUCGGGAAACUGAGGAUAAUACCCGACAGACCAUCAUUCCUGGAACGGUUGAUGGUUAAAAUGAUUCGUCGCCGUAGGAUGGGACUGCGACUUAUCAGCUUGUUGGUGGGGUAAGGCCCACCAAGGCGAUUACAGGUACGGGCUCUGAGAGGAGAAGCCCGGAGAUGGGUACUGAGAUACGGACCCAGGCCCUAUGGGGCGCAGCAGGCGAGAAAACUUUGCAAUGUGCGAAAGCACGACAAGGUUAAUCCGAGUGAUUUCUGCUAAAGGAAUCUUUUGCCAGUUCUAAAAAUACUAGUGAAUAAGGGGUGGGCAAGUUCUGGUGUCAGCCGCCGCGGUAAAACCAGCACCUCAAGUGGUCAGGAGGAUUAUUGGGCCUAAAGCAUCCGUAGCCUGCUCUGUAAGUUUUCGGUUAAAUCUAUAUGCUCAACGUAUAGGCCGCCGAAAAUACUGCAGUGCUAGGGAGUGGGAGAGGUAGACGGUACUCGGUAGGAAGGGGUAAAAUCCUUUGAUCUAUCGAUGACCACCUGUGGCGAAGGCGGUC
RNAcentral lists this ribosomal RNA (629 nucleotides) under uncultured crenarchaeote ME-450_20. RNAcentral describes it as "bacterial SSU rRNA". It matches the Rfam family "Archaeal small subunit ribosomal RNA", at positions 40 to 677 of the family's 1478-position model. Lineage: Archaea; Thermoproteati; Thermoproteota. The record is from RNAcentral.